RNAcentral lists this ribosomal RNA (446 nucleotides) under uncultured bacterium. Its description in RNAcentral is "partial 16S ribosomal RNA". It matches the Rfam family "Bacterial small subunit ribosomal RNA", at positions 338 to 795 of the family's 1533-position model. The record is from RNAcentral.
CCUACGGGAGGCUGCAGUCGAGAAUCAUUCACAAUGGGGGAAACCCUGAUGGUGCGACGCCGCGUGGGGGAAUGAAGGUCUUCGGAUUGUAAACCCCUGUCAUGUGGGAGCAAAUUAAAAAGAUAGUACCACAAGAGGAAGAGACGGCUAACUCUGUGCCAGCAGCCGCGGUAAUACAGAGGUCUCAAGCGUUGUUCGGAAUCACUGGGCGUAAAGUGUGCGUAGGCUGUUUCGUAAGUCGUGUGUGAAAGGCGCGGGCUCAACCCGCGGACGGCACAUGAUACUGCGAGACUAGAGUAAUGGAGGGGGAACCGGAAUGCUCGGUGUAGCAGUGAAAUGCGUAGAUAUCGAGAGGAACACUCGUGGCGAAGGCGGGUUCCUGGACAUUGACUGACGCUGAGGCACGAAGGCCAGGGGAGCGAAAGGGAUUAGAUACCCUGGUAGUC